AAUGACUUAAAUCUACUCAUGUCAUCAAUAACAGUACGUAAUGACAUUCCUUCACCGACACAACCUAUAACGCUUAUUUGAUUAAAUCCCAGCCAUAGGAAUCUUGUUUGAAUUUGUUUGUAUAAAGAUGGAAAAGUAGAAAGCCAAAACCUUUCUUUCCCAAUGUUAAUGAAUCGUGAAAAAUAAACAAUAAGUGAUAAAUGUGGCCUUGGUUGGAGGUUUCAGUAUCAUCCAUAUCAGUUAUCGAAGUAUCAAAAGGGAGAUGAUUGUAAUACUCAUUGAGUUUCCAGUACAUAGUGAAGGUAAAUGUGACAGAAUCAUACAUAAUAUCGCCGACGAUAGGACACUGCUCGUAUAAUCGAAUAAUAAAUGUCGAAUUGGAUAGCAAUAUUCACUAUUCAUUCAGUAGAUAUUCAAUGGUGGUACAAAAUGAUCCUUCAAGAUACCAACAGGAAGAAAUUCCAUAUAAAACAAAGUUCUCCUAUAAACACAGAUGAACUUUACAGCCAGUUUACAAACAUAAACCUUGACACUCUUUUAUGUGAUUCAAGUAACUAGAUUUACUUUUGAUCUUAGCCACAGACCGAGAAGCGAUCGAAACUGUAUAAAUGAUUCGAGGCAUUAACACCUAAAUUCAAGAAAUAAAACAUGGUUCAUUGAUUUCAUUAAUUCUUUAUUCAUUGAUUGAGGACUUUCAAGUCCUAUUAGUGCCAUACUAUUUUGAACAAUAUAUACAUUUUUCUGACUUUGAUUGUCAUAACUCUGCAGUUAAAAACAUAAAAUUUGAGUAUUUGAUACUAGGUACUUCUGUGAUAAAAUUGACUAGAUUCUGUUUGAUUUUGUUGUAUAAUUAUGCGUCAUAUAAAUAGACAUAUAUGACUUUUUGACACCAAUGAACUUUAAAUAAUAUGUGGUCUGAUUUGGUACAACAAUGAUCAAAUAGGAUCUUUCUCUAAAAGGAAAGUUGUGUUUAUAGUGUUCUCAACACAAAACAAAAAAUUGUUGCAAUAAUUUAAUAAUAAAAUUAAAUAUGUGGUUAAAUAAUAUAUCCUGGAAAUUUUUAUAUUAAAUUUAUUUCGAUAUACAAAAUUGUAUAAUUGAAUGGGUUAAUAAAUAAUAAACAAAUUAAUUACAAAUUUCUACAAUUAUGGUACAAUAUACUUUGAUUUUUACAAUAUUUGCUGUUAAAGGCACUCUAUAAUUUACAGUUUGAUGGCUGGACCUAGCGUAAAGUUGACUAGUGACAUAUUCAAUUUCAGAAGAAAAAGUAACAAAUGACAAUGAAACAUAACAAAUACUAAGUACAAUUGAUUUUUUCUACUUCCGUGAGGCGGUUUUUCUAUUUCACAGAAAAUAUAAGUUGCUGAAAAUUCAGAAAAUAUUUGGACUUCACAAGAAAAAAGUAUUCACAAAUUAUUAGGUAUAACAAAAUUCAUAAUUUCAAAUGUAUCUUGAAGACUGACCCAAACGGCCGUAGAAAAAAUUACAGAUGCAGCAUGUAAUGGAAAAUGUUCAUUCCACCUAUCACAUUGAAAAAAAAA
Molecule: long non-coding RNA, 1541 nt
Organism: Leptinotarsa decemlineata (Colorado potato beetle)
Lineage: Eukaryota; Metazoa; Arthropoda; Insecta; Coleoptera; Chrysomelidae
Source: RefSeq, a predicted model, not a curated record